RNAcentral lists this ribosomal RNA (446 nucleotides) under uncultured bacterium. RNAcentral's name for it is "partial 16S ribosomal RNA". It matches the Rfam family "Bacterial small subunit ribosomal RNA", at positions 338 to 795 of the family's 1533-position model. The record is from RNAcentral.
CCUACGGGAGGCAGCAGUCGAGAAUCAUUCACAAUGGGGGAAACCCUGAUGGUGCGACGCCGCGUGGGGGAAUGAAGGUCUUCGGAUUGUAAACCCCUGUCAUGUGGGAGCAAAUUAAAAAGAUAGUACCACACGAGGAAGAGACGGCUAACUCUGUGCCAGCAGCCGCGGUAAUACCGAGGUCUCAAGCGUUGUGCGGAAUCACUGGGCGUAAAGCGUGCGUAGGCUGUUUCGUAAGUCGUGUGUGAAAGGCGCGGGCUCAACCCGCGGACGGCACAUGAUACUGCGAGACUAGAGUAAUGGAGGGGGGACCGGAAUUCUCGGUGUAGCAGUGAAAUGCGUAGAUAGCGGGAGGAACACUCGUGGCGAAGGCGGGUUCCUGGACAUUAACUGACGCUGAGGCACGAAGGCCAGGGGAGCGAAAGGGAUUAGAUACCCGAGUAGUC